CGGCGCAUCCCAUGACCAUCAAUAAUCCCUCUCAUUUUUUGGGGGAAUUCACAAAAAGAACCCACAAAUGAUCUUUAUUUUCCUGCGUACAGUAAAAAGAACAAAAACUAAACAAUCUAUUUACUCUCUCUCCAUAUGCACAAGACUCCAUUCAAACAAUCAGUAGAACAACAACUCCAUCUCUCUCAUUCAUCAAUUACCAUCCUUCUUCAAAACUACACACACAACUCUUUCACCAAAACUUCAUACUACUUCUAAACACCACCACCAUUAACCAUAUUCUUAUUCUUCCAUCUCCAUAUUCUCAAACUCACAUAAAAAAGAAACUUUCACAAAACAUUCUACAAAAUCCUUCAUCAUAAACUUCACCAACAACACUACAUAAAAAUCAACUGAUUCUCUAGCCAUAACAAGCCUUAAACUUCUCACACCUCACACUUCAAGAUUCCAUAUAAAACCAAAAAGAAGCUCCUCAUACUGUGUAUAUACUAUGAAACCAAACCACGUAACCAUUCAACAAAAUCUACGCCAACAAUGACAUUCACACGACCACCCUACUCCAUCAUGUACAUUCGUCGUUCGCAACAACCUUGUUGUUACCGUCGUUGUUUUCGUUUCGGUAUAUCAUCCUUUAAUUUCUUUUUGUGAUGUGUUGUUGUCUAUUAAUUUUAUUUCC
This 676-nucleotide long non-coding RNA is filed under the name Lathyrus oleraceus (garden pea). RNAcentral's name for it is "Pisum sativum (pea) long non-coding RNA (PSAT_LNC019457)". Lineage: Eukaryota; Viridiplantae; Streptophyta; Magnoliopsida; Fabales; Fabaceae. The record is from RNAcentral.